This 232-nucleotide ribosomal RNA is filed under the name uncultured bacterium. RNAcentral describes it as "partial 16S ribosomal RNA". It matches the Rfam family "Bacterial small subunit ribosomal RNA", at positions 99 to 334 of the family's 1533-position model. The record is from RNAcentral.
CGGACGGGUGAGUAAUGUCUGGGAAACUGCCCGAUGGAGGGGGAUAACUACUGGAAACGGUAGCUAAUACCGCAUAACGUCGCAAGACCAAAGAGGGGGACCUUCGGGCCUCUUGCCAUCGGAUGUGCCCAGAUGGGAUUAGCUAGUAGGUGGGGUAGCGGCUCACCUAGGCGACGAUCCCUAGCUGGUCUGAGAGGAUGACCAGCCACACUGGAACUGAGACACGGUCCAG